Molecule: ribosomal RNA, 253 nt
Filed under: uncultured bacterium
Lineage: Bacteria
Description: partial 16S ribosomal RNA
Rfam family: Bacterial small subunit ribosomal RNA
Source: RNAcentral
UACGUAGGGGGCAAGCGUUGUCCGGAAUCAUUGGGCGUAAAGCGCGCGUAGGUGGCCAUUUAAGUCCGCUGUGAAAGUCAAAGGCUCAACCUUUGAAAGCCGGUGGAUACUGGGUGGCUAGAGUACGGAAGAGGCGAGUGGAAUUCCUGGUGUAGCGGUGGAAUGCGCAGAUAUCAGGAGGAACACCAAUAGCGAAGGCAGCUCGCUGGGACGUUACUGACACUGAGGCGCGAAAGCGUGGGGAGCGAACAGG